RNAcentral lists this ribosomal RNA (508 nucleotides) under uncultured bacterium. RNAcentral describes it as "bacterial SSU rRNA". It matches the Rfam family "Bacterial small subunit ribosomal RNA", at positions 28 to 527 of the family's 1533-position model. The record is from RNAcentral.
GACGAACGCUGGCGGCGUGGAUUAGGCAUGCAAGUCGAACGGUAUCAUCCUUUCGGGGGUGAGAGAGUGGCGAACUGGUGAGUAACGCGUAGGUUAUCUACCCUCAAGACGGGGACAACCCAGGGAAACUUGGGCUAAUACCGGAUGUGAGCAACUUUUAGUUGUUUGAAAGGUGGCGUAAGCUGUCGCUUGGGGAUGAGCCUGCGUCCUAUUAGUUAGUUGGUGAGGUAACGGCUCACCUAGGCAAUGAUAGGUAGGCGGCCUUAACGGGUGGUCGCCCACACUGGGAUUGAGAUACGGCCCAGACUCCUACGGGAGGCAGCAGUCGAGAAUAGUCUACAAUGGUCGGAAGACUGAUAGUGCGACGCCGCGUGAACGAUGAAUCCCUUCGGGGUGUAAAGUCCUUUUAUAUGUGAGCAGUGCUUCUUAUAUUAACAGUAUGGGGAGAGAGAUAUUAGCAUAUGAAUAAGCAACGGCUAACUCCGUGCCAGCAGCCGCGGUAAACUCG